RNAcentral lists this long non-coding RNA (1143 nucleotides) under Nicotiana benthamiana. RNAcentral describes it as "long non-coding RNA (NBEN_LNC021845)". Lineage: Eukaryota; Viridiplantae; Streptophyta; Magnoliopsida; Solanales; Solanaceae. The record is from RNAcentral.
GCAUAACAAUCCAAACCAGUAGAAUGAUAUUAGGAUCUAACACUUAAUUCUGCUAUGGAAUUACUAUUAUCAACAAAUAAUCAAUCAUAUGUAGCUUCAAAUUUGCAAACAUUUUCCAAUUACAAAACAAGAUGCGUUCAAAUCAGUCCAAAAUAGAACAGAAAUCCAACGAGUUCAUCAAUAAGUAUUUGUGAUUGUUACAUGAAAGUUUCAGUAACUUCCCAUUGAAUCAUGUAAUCACAUUUCAUUCCAAAAUCAUAUUUCAAUUCUAGGUAUCACAAAUGGACAUGGAAUUCACAUAAGUCUAACACCCAAACAUCAUACAAGACAAACUGAGCAACCAAAGAGCAAAAUGAUGACCCUCGACGGAAAAUAGCAAUAGAAUUAGGUAACGGGAACUCGACGGAAAAAAAGCAAAUGAACCAGGGAAUGGGAACUCGAUGAAUUCAAAUUCGAUCGAAACAAUCCUCGAAUCAGCAACCAAGAGCAGCAGAAUUGUUCUGUUCUGCCUUGUUUUGUCCGUGUGUGACUAUGUGCAUUUUUCAGUGACUAGAAGUUUAGAGUUAAAGAGUGGUCGUGUAUGAAGAAAACAUGGGUCAUUGGUUUGGGGCGAUGGCGAUGGCGGAAUUUCGAUGAACUUGGAUUAAAGAGGUGCUCGUGGGUGUUGGUUUCCAGGGUCAACGAAUAGAGCAGGGGUAUUUGGAGAAGACGACGUUAGGGGAAGUUCCGAAGGAGGUUUGUGUCGUUAGAGGAAGAAAAUCGCCAUUGCUUCUACUCUUGGAGUCCAGAAGAAAAAGCUCGGGGGGGGGGGGUGCGGCUCUCUCCUCGUUAGCUCCCCCUUUUUUCAGAUUUUCUAGCAUUAUUUUAUAGGUAGAUUCUAGGACUAGGGUUUAUUGGGGUUUUGGGCUUGGCUUGUGUGGAAAUUGGGUAAGGAAAUUGUGGUUUGGGCUGGUUUUGGCUUUAAAAAUGGACCACUUGCUUAAUUUAAAACCACAUUGCAAUUAAAUCCUCAUUCUCUUCUUUUUUUUUUCUUUGAUUAAUAAUCCUAAAUUAAUCUAUUUUGUAGAAAUCAAAACUCUUUAUUUAAUUUUUUUACAUUAAAACAACUAAUUAACUUAAAACUAAAGAAAAAAUGCUAAUUUU